Daktulosphaira vitifoliae (grape phylloxera) is the source of this 2990-nucleotide RNA transcript. RefSeq lists it as uncharacterized. The record is from RefSeq and is a predicted model, not a curated record. NCBI's taxonomy places the organism in Eukaryota, Metazoa, Arthropoda, Insecta, Hemiptera, Phylloxeridae. The transcript has 3 exons.
GUGUAAUUUUCUAAGCAUAUAAUUGGUUUUAUGAAUUUUCUUAUUAAAAUGAUUGAAUAUAAAAUAUUUUACAUUUUUGUUCUUUGGUUUAAUGUUUCUAUAGCUUUAGAAUAUAUAGAGUUAAAUUGUAAUUUCUCCAGGUAUAUUUUGAAUUAUUUUAAACAUAAUGAAAAAUACUUGCUAAAAUUAGAAGAGGAAAAAUCAAAUAUUUUGAUUGGUGAUUUACAAAUAUAUGGACGAGCAAUACAAUCUCAUGGUGAAAUUGUAAUUGCAAUGUUAGAAGCUUUAAGAUCAGAAGAUUGGAGGGAUUAUCCAUCAUCUCUUAUGAAUGUAAAUUUAUACUUGAAUAACGUUUCAGGAUCUGUAGAAAUGAGUUUUAAAAAUAAAAAUGGUAAAUUUGAUGAUUCGAAUAGAAUAUUAAAUUUACUAGAAGGAUUUUUGAUGAUACAUAAAGCUAUAGUAAAACGCUUGGAAUAUUUUGUCCUCAGCACAUGUUUUGAUAUAUCUUUUGAGGAAGUAUUUACGAAUUGCCCAGAUUUCAAUAAGGAAAAAGAUUAUAGAAUUAAAUUUCUCCCUGAUAUUGUAGAAAAACUAAAAAACAGGUUGUCUAUUAAUGACUUGCAACUCAAUGAUGAAAGAUUGAAAUUAAAACACAGUGAAGUAUUUAGAAUAUUGAAAUUAGCAAUAAAAAGUGAUUCUCGAUGGGAUUUCCAUCCAAAAAAAUUGUUAUACUAUGAUUUAAUGAUGGGACUGCAAAAAUUUGAUGAACGAAAUCUGAUUUCAGGUGUACAAUAUAGAAAAAUACCAGAAGUAAAAGAUUGUUGGGCCGUUAACGUUAUAGAUUAUUUUAAAUUUUCACCACUUACAUAUAAGUGUCCCGAUGAUUCAUAUGUAACACUUUUUGACGUAUUUCGUUACAUGAAAUACAAUUUUAAUACAAAACAAUUACAAGGAUAUCAAGAGCUAGUGCUAGCUUCAACUAUUCGGCCUAUUUUAUUAGUUGUCCGUAUGUAUAUUUCAUUUUUAAAGAGGAUAAACGAUUUUUGCAAUUCUAAAUGGUAUAAUAAAAAUAAAAAUAAUCUAGAUCAAAUUCGUAUUAGCCUCACAGAAAUUGGUACAGCAAUAAUUAAACAAAUUGAAUAUUUCAAUAAACAAUUUAUAAUUCAAAAACUACCGAAAACUUUUUUAAACAAUAUUUGUAAUGAUAUUCGUAAUAUUGUUGGUAAAGAUAUAUCUCAGUCUUAUCGUACAUUGGACUGCAUAAUGUUAUCUACGAAGACCUUUUUUUCUAAUAAUAUAUUAAAUAGUUAUUGUGGUAUAAUAAUGAAUUAUAGAAUUACUCAUUUUAAUAAUAUUGUUCAACUCUAUAACAUAUUUUCCCGACGUGUUAGUGAAAUGUCAACAUACCUAAUCGAACUGGACAAAUACAAAGAAUCUCUUAAUUCAAUGAAUAAAACACGAAACAUAUUUUCCUUUUAUUUUAGAAAGAGCAGUGAUGACAUCUUCAAUCCCUAUUCAAUUAUGAUGAAUCGGUUAUGCAGCCCGGAUAUAUACAAUGAAAUAUAUAACAUGGAGACUACUGAAUCUUUUAAUGAUGAAACAUCUAGAAUUAAUACGGUAAAUCAAUAUACUGUUGAUAACGAAAAACAAACAGAUAUCCAAAAUAUUGAAGACUUAUCAGAACUUAAUAUUUCAAUGCCAAAGUAUAUGGUCGAUUACAUUCUAUUUAUAUAAUAUUCAUAAUAUUAUGUAAGUGGUUGUAAUUUUGUUGAUAUUAUUUUAUUAAUCAAUUAUACAUAUAUAUAUACGUGGGUGUGUGCGUGUGUUAUUAUAAAAUUCAAUGUUACUUUUAGUUCGAAUAAUUAAGUUAUCUAAAUAUAAGAUUUGUAAAUAAAUUUUAUAAACCAGGGCAGUGAGGAUGUGGAUUUAUUUUGACAAGUAUAGAUUAUAUUUGUGUGCCAUGCUACUCCUUAAUAUUAAAGGGGGUUGCCAGUUACAGUGGGUAGUGUUGUUUAUUUGGGAUAAACAAAAAUUAACGGAAAUAAGAAGUAUAUCUGUUUUACUACAUAUAAAAAUACUAAUAUAUAUUCAUUACAGUAUCUUAAAAUAAAGGGUGGUUUGGGGAUGUCUCAAUUACUAAAAUGGUCGACAGAGCAGCUAUGAAGAAAUAGAUAAAUAAAAUAAAAUAAAUAGGAUUAAAUAAAUAAAACUUAGCUAUAUAACGUAGAAUAAAAUGAUGAAAAAUGGCAGUGAGAUGUAGACAGAUGUAUGCGUUGAAUUGCUCAAGUCGUGAACGAUGAUAAUGGUCCGUAAUGUGCCACAAGGGCCGACAACUGAAAGGGAUGCAAAAGUACGAAUAGCGCGAGAGCAUUCAGGACAUUCAAUAUUAUCUUUUGCGGAUGACGACUAUCGAUUAUUAGAGACAUUAUCACACGGCGGUGGCCAUAAUAGUAUUAAGAAAUAUCGGUUUUUUGACGAAAAAAAAAUGUAUUACGGUGAAAAGUAUGAAUUUUAAAAGUCAAAUCCGUUAUUUUGAUAUGCGACAUGCACAUUUUUGAAUAAAGUUCGUACGUAAAACGUUAAUUUUUCCUAAUUUAAAAAAAACAUAGAUUUGUUCGAAACAUUGUGUCAGAAGACUUUAUAGAUGAUUAUAUAUUUUUAUACUAUAGCAUUUGAGAUUAGUACAGCUGAUGGCUUAACGCGGCGGCGGCGAUGUCGCCGUCUAUUACAUUAAUUGUUAAUAUACGAGUUAAUAAGCUUGACCGUUAUUCGUAUAGUGAAUAAUAAAUCAGUAUUUUUUAUCGACAAUAUAUAAUAAUAAUAAUAACGAUAGUUCAAGUUUUCCUAUUAUGAGAUGUUUAGCAAAUCACAUUCCGAAAUAAAUAUUACUACCGCAGCCACCGACGACGACGAUGAUAAUCGCUGGAAUAUAUAUUCUAAUGUUUAUAAUAUUAUUAUAAUCUACAUAACUGUAAUACACUUAUCGAUUA